This 94-nucleotide ribosomal RNA is filed under the name uncultured bacterium. Its description in RNAcentral is "partial 16S ribosomal RNA". The record is from RNAcentral.
CUCUUCGGAGUGUAAACCACUGUUGCCCGGGACGAACAGCUCGAUUUCUCAAGCCUGACGGUACCGGGUGAGGAAGCACCGGCUAACUCCGUGC